Molecule: ribosomal RNA, 427 nt
Filed under: uncultured bacterium
Lineage: Bacteria
Description: partial 16S ribosomal RNA
Rfam family: Bacterial small subunit ribosomal RNA
Source: RNAcentral
UGGGGAAUAUUGGACAAUGGGCGAAAGCCUGAUCCAGCCAUGCCGCGUGUGUGAAGAAGGUCUUCGGAUUGUAAAGCACUUUAAGUUGGGAGGAAGGGCAUUAACCUAAUACGUUAGUGUUUUGACGUUACCGACAGAAUAAGCACCGGCUAACUCUGUGCCAGCAGCCGCGGUAAUACAGAGGGUGCAAGCGUUAAUCGGAAUUACUGGGCGUAAAGCGCGCGUAGGUGGUUUGUUAAGUUAGAUGUGAAAGCCCCGGGCUCAACCUGGGAACUGCAUUCAAAACUGACUGACUAGAGUAUGGUAGAGGGUGGUGGAAUUUCCUGUGUAGCGGUGAAAUGCGUAGAUAUAGGAAGGAACACCAGUGGCGAAGGCGACCACCUGGACUAAUACUGACACUGAGGUGCGAAAGCGUGGGGAGCAAACA